Non-coding RNA from Phrynosoma platyrhinos (Desert horned lizard), 72 nucleotides. The record is from the annotation of a GenBank genome assembly. Lineage: Eukaryota; Metazoa; Chordata; Lepidosauria; Squamata; Phrynosomatidae.
GCUUGUGUGGUGUAGUGGUUUGAGUGUUGGACUACAACUCUGGAGACCAGGGUUUGAUUCCCCACACAGCCA